UGGGUAGAAUAAUGCCAGCAGUCGGCCGAUUAUUUCAUUAGGCCAGCACUGGUAUUAUUGCACUCAACACUGAGAUUUCU
Molecule: microRNA precursor, 80 nt
Organism: Electrophorus electricus (electric eel)
Lineage: Eukaryota; Metazoa; Chordata; Actinopteri; Gymnotiformes; Gymnotidae
Source: Ensembl